This 406-nucleotide ribosomal RNA is filed under the name uncultured bacterium. Its description in RNAcentral is "partial 16S ribosomal RNA". It matches the Rfam family "Bacterial small subunit ribosomal RNA", at positions 30 to 526 of the family's 1533-position model. The record is from RNAcentral.
AUUGAACGCUGGCGGCAGGCCUAACACAUGCAAGUCGAACGAGUGGCGGACGGGUGAGUAAUGUCUGGGAAACUGCCUGAUGGAGGGGGAUAACUACUGGAAACGGUAGCUAAUACCGCAUACCAUCGGAUGUGCCCAGAUGGGAGUAGCUAGUAGGUGGGGUAAAGGCUCACCUAGGCGACGAUCCCUAGCUGGUCUGAGAGGAUGACCAGCCACACGGGAACUGAGACACUGUCCAGACUCCUACGGGCGGCAGCAGUGGGGAAUUGGGCACAAUUGGCGCAAGCCUGAUGCAGCCAUGCCGCGUGGAUGAAGAAGGCCUUCGGGUUGUAAAGUAGUUUCAGCGGGGAGGCGUUACCUGCAGAAGAAGCACCGGCUAACUCCGUGCCAGCAGCCGCGGUAAUUC